CUUUUUCCCUCCUCAUUUCGGUUGCUUAUUGUCUUUUAUGAUGGCCAUAGAAUUAAUCUAUCUGCUGGAAUUGGCAGAAUUAUCUCUCCAUGUUGAUUGACUCCUAUGCAACUAUGGUGCCUUUAUAUGUAAAAUCUUUUUUGGAACAAAGAAGGAUAUUCUCUAUAUUUUUAGAUUCUUAGAAACUUGUGUUUGCAUUUUCUUUUUUCGUAUCGUCAUCCUUAGAUAAAACUGUUGAAUCAUGGAAUUAAGAAGUUA
This 258-nucleotide unclassified non-coding RNA is filed under the name Hevea brasiliensis (rubber tree). The record is from RNAcentral. Lineage: Eukaryota; Viridiplantae; Streptophyta; Magnoliopsida; Malpighiales; Euphorbiaceae.